CUGUUUGGGAGGCUCUUAACAAUAAUAAUGACGUGGCUGCUGAAGUGGCUUCCCCGGCAUUACCUGGGUUUGGUCGGAGUCCGAUGGUUGUUCGGCAGCUGAGAGUCACUGACUCCCCGUUUCCAGUGGCCGGAGGUGGCGAUGAGGACUGCCAUGUGGAUAAAGCGGCAGAGGAAUUUAUAAAUCGGUUUUACAAGGAAUUGCGGUUGCAGAAGACAGCGGAGUAAAAAGGAUUUUUUCAAAACAAAAAAAAUCAAUUGUCGACUGGCUGGCGGCCACCUUGCCUCCGAUGGGUUGAAAAUUGACGAUGUUAAAUUUUGUCUAAUAUUUGUGUUUUUUUCUUAAACAAUAUUAAGAACAUGUAAUAUUUGUGUUAAUAUUAUAAUAAGAGAAAUUUCCCUUAAUUUUUAGUAUAGUUUUUUUUAUCUUUCCAUCUUUCUACUAAAAUAUAUAUAUAUAUAUAUAUUAAAAAAACGAGCUUAAUUCCAUGAAUUUUGAACUCAAAAUAUAAAGUGAUCUUUAAGAGAACUGUUGCUCUUCAACUUGAUGAUAUGGAUUGCAAAUUAAUGUGUAACAUUUUGAAUUACAUUACCUGCAUGCUUGACUUGCUAUAAAGCUAGAUUUUGUGUUUUAUAAUCUUGUGUUUUAUAUAGUUUUAAAACUUUUAAUUUAAUCCAAAUUUAGUUUAAAGUUUCUUUUAAAUGGGUUUCAAAGAAAUCUUCUUUAAUUUUAGAACUUUCUUCAAACCUUCACAAAUUCAAUUCAAAAUGAGUAGUGUUAAAUUCAUGGAGCAUAUGCAAAAAUACAUUAAAGUAUUAAAAAAAUGAUUUAAUUUUCUUUUUAAAAAAUCAUAUAUUUACAUGCUUUGAGUAGACUUUAAUUUGAUCAAACACAACCAUUUAAUAAAAAGAAAAAACUAGUGCAUAAGAUUUUUUUAAGAGUAUCAAUCAUAAAGUUAAAUAAAAUAAAAUAUAUAUGUUAUGGAAAUUAAAUAUAAAUAAAUAUUUGGUACAUAAAAUUUAUUAUUGGUAAUUGAAGUCCAUUAUGGUUAGGAGUUUAACGUUUGUCUUUGUCUUCAUCUUCUUCACCUCAGAUAUUAAAAGUUUAAAACCGCUCAUCACCUUAAACUCUCAUUUCUUAUUUUUCUAUAAUAAACAAAUAAAUCUUUAUUUUAUUUGGUUGAUUAUUAUUAUACUUCAAAUUUGAGUUAUUGCACUUCUAAUUUUAGUUAAUCAAUUAUUAAAGUCCCCUUGAUUUAAAAGAAAACGUAAAUUAAAGUAAAGUACUUUCUCAAAACUAUAUAUACACGAUUUUAAAUUUGAAUCUUUUUUAUAUAACAAAAUAAUCUAGACUACUUAUAAAAAAUAUAGCAAAAUUUCUUAGGAUAGAUUUUGAAAAUUUUACUAUAUUUGUAAUUAAUUUUUUUUUUGACUGUUUUUACAAUUAUAUCUAUUUAACUUUUAUCUAGGAAUUUUUUCAAAAAUUAAAAAAAAUUGACAAAACUACUCAAAGACAAUUUAUUUGAAUGGUAUUUUCGACACCUUCCCUUUUAUUUAUUUAUAUUUCUUACCAUUCCUUUCCUAUUUUCUUUUAUUGAGGGUCGUUGAAAAUUAAAACAAAUUAGAAAAUAUAUAUAUAAUAAUAAUAUUGUAGGUGAUCGAUGGUAAAUAAUUGAAAUAUUUGUUACAUUUAUAGAUAUUUUUUAAAAUGAUUCAUUUUGCAAUAUGAAAAACAAACAAUAUUUAUGAACUAAAUUUGUAUAAAAUAAUUAUUAUGGGAUCAAAUCUGUAGCCUAUUAAUAAUUUUUUUGUAAUUUUCUUUUGUUCAUGUUGGUUUCACUUUGGGUAAAGGAGAUCCAAUAAAGCCUAGCCCACUACCUUUAAAUAUAUGACUUUUUUUUCACCUUUUAUUUCCUUAUAUUUUAAUAAUAUUAUUUAUUAUUUUACAAGUUGCAUAUGUGCCUACAACUAAAUCUAAAUGUAUAUGCGUAUAUCAUUUAAUUUCCGUUUAUACAGAACAACCACCAACAAAAUUUAAAUCAAUUAUGAUUGAACUAAGUUAAGUUUGAUAUAAUUCAAAUAUGAUUAUUAUAGUAAUUAAAAGUACCAUUUAUCUCACAAUUUUGUUACUAUAAAUUGUAGAUAAUUUCAUUUUAGAAAAAUACACUCAAUAUUCAUUUUAUUAAUUCAAUCAUAGAAUUUGUUAGGGAAGUUACACUAACAGAUAUAUUUAAAUGGUGUAAAAUUUAUACAUUAAAAAUUUUAGUAUAUAUACUUCCAAUAGUCUAUCUUAUUCUAUAUAUUUUCAAUAAAUAUUUACUCUACUUUCAAUAGCUAUUUUCUUUAAAUUGGUUAAAUAAUAAAAAUAUAAUCUAGAUAAACAUUCAAAAUUUAUAAAUUGACGUUGUUAUUUAUGAGAUGUAUGAUUAAAAUUAGAUUGUUGAAAGUAUACAGGUAUAAAACCAAAAGGGGAGAACGAAAAAAUGAUUUUUUUUAUAAAAAAUUUAUAUAAUAUUGAAAUAAAGAGUGGAAGAUUAACAUAGAUAAAAUCAAUGAAGAUACUAGAUGGUAAUGAAUUUGUGUGUAUGAUUAUAAUAGUUGAAUAUAAUCAAAGUAUGGAUUACAUGUCUUAUUAUAAAUUGUUAUGGUUGAAGCAAAAAGACAAAGAUGUCAACUUUAUGGGCUAAUUUGAAAUGGACUUGUAAUGAAAGAUAUUGUCUUUCUCUAAAUGAUUUACUUCUCACCCUCUCUAUCUACAUUUUUUUUUAUAAUGAAAAUACAUUUACCUUAGUUUAAUGAAACAUUAUAACCAUAAACAAAAGAAAGAAGGUGGGAAUGGAAAAGGGAAAGAGCUCCUCAUAAAGGCCAAAAAGUUUAGGUAAAGUGUUAGGUGGGUGCAAGAAAUUAGUGCAAAUUUGUGGGACAAAUGUUACUUUUUUUAAAGAAAAAAAAUAUCAACUAAUUUCAUUUUGGCUCUUUUUGAUCUAAAACAGUGGGAGAGGUAUUAGAAUCACAAACUUGUGUAACCUAAAAGUAAGAAAAGUGGAGUUUAUAAUUUGGUUUGUUUUAAAUUUUGGUUGGACUAUAUAUUCAAGUUUGUAAGACUUACCCAUUAUGCAUUAUAUGUAAUCUAACUAUCACCUAAAACAUCCUAUUAUCAUUAUAAAAUUUAUGGAUUUUAAUUUUUUUUACUUCAACCUUGUUAUAGAAAAGAUAACUCUAGUGAGUGAAUAAUCUUUUUAUAGUUCAAUAAUAUAUGAUGUUGAAAAAUUGAACUAUCGAUAUUGACAUUUUAAAUUGGAGUUGAUAUGAGAUUUGAUUUAUUUAACGUGAGAUACCACCUGUCACCUACUUAUUUUUUAAAAUGGUAAAGAGAUUUGAUUUAUUUUUUUCUUUCACCUAUAACUUCUAUUUAUUUUUAUUUUUUAUUCUCAUUCUCAUUAUCUAUAUGGUUUUUUACAUUAUUUUUCCUUCUUAUGCUUUUAUAUUAUUCAAGUUUUGUACAAAUUUAGGUACGUUUUACAACUUUUAUCUUUUUAUUUUACAAGUUCUAUACAUUUCAAAAUAUAUUAUGGUUUAUUUUUUGUGUUGCUAAAUUGAAAAUAUACAUGCAUCUCAUAUAUUAUUGAGGGUAAAUUUGUUAGGUUCAUACACUUAUUUCGUUUAGUUAUUUUAAAUAUAUACAAUAUUUAGAUAAAAUAUAAUUAUAAUAAUUAUAGAUAUUCGAUAAGUUACAUCAUAUUAAGAUAUAUAUUUAACGUAUACUUUUUCAUAUAUACACAUGCGUAUUUAAUUAUUUUGCAUAUAUAUACCCCAGGUUAUAUAAUACAUUAUAAUUAAUAUAGUAGUCUAAAUGGUUGAAAAAACCACUGUAAUAAAUUAUUAACAUUUGUAAUAUCUAAGAAAACAAAUUGUAGAAUAUUAUUCUUAAAAUUUUUUGGUAUAUGUUGAAAACAUAAAUAAUAUGAUUUAUAAAUAUACCAAACAAUACAAACAGUAUACUUUUGUUAAUAACAAAGAGACUCAGUCAACGAUAUUUGUAAUAGAACAUGUAUAUUAUGAAAUGUAUUUUGAGACAACAUGAUAAAAGUGAAUAUAAAAGAAUGAAGGUUGGUAAUGUAUAAUUAAUUAUGAAACACAAUUUGAAAUAUAAGAAGAAAUAUUGACAUAUAAUAUAAUGUGUAAAGGAGUUAAAAAAACAAGAUACACAUCUAUUUGUUGAAAAUAAAAUUAAUAACAGAUGAAUAGAAGAACAUGAAUGAAGGUGUGGAACAUAUUGAAACAACCGUGGAAAAAUGUAUUAUCAAUUCACCGCUUAUGUAAAAUAUUCUACAUUUUUAUUUUGAUUUAUAUUAGUUUGAGAACAUAUUGUCCCCCCUCUUCUUUCUUUUGUUUUUGUUUUCUUAUUUCGUAGUUCUUUUAAGUGUAUUAUUGUGUGUAUUUAACUUCCUAUAUUUUUUUUACUAACCAUCCCGAGAAACACAAUAUCAAGAAGAAAUAAAAUUGUAAGUCAUCCUUCCUAUACUUCAUUUUUUCCCUUUUAACUUACGAUAAUUAUAAUUUUUUUUUUUUUGUCAGACGGGUGCCAAAAUAAUUAAAGUAUGCAACAUGCUAAUUAAUUAAUUAACGUAUCACUCACAAUUAACACAGUAUGCCAAAUGGAUAAUUAUUAAAGUAGGAUGUCAAAUAGAUACAAGUAAUUAACACAUAAUGUAAAAUGGAUGCCAAAAGGCAAAUAAUUAAAUGUCAAAUGGGUGCCAAAAUGAUUAAAGUAGGCAACAUGCUAAUUAAUUAACGCAGGAUGUCACGUUAAUAUAGAUGCAUAUAAUUAAAACAGCAGGCAAAUAAUUAUAGCAUGAUACAAGAUGUUAAUUAAUUAAUUAAUACAUGAGAAUAAUUAACACAGAAGUAAUUAACAGAUGCCAAAUAAUGAAUGAGGAUACAAAACACUAAUUAAUGCACCAGCCAGAGCCAAAAAGGGUGCCAAAUAAUUGAAUCAUCAACCAUGAAUUUAAUAAAAAAAAUAAAAAACUUACCAAUAGUUAUGCAUGCUUCCUUCUUGAUCCUCUCAAUCUCUUUCCAAAUCACAAACAAAUAAAAAGAUUUCUCUUUUUGACAUGUGUCUUUUCUAUCAAAUCUCUCAGAAAAAAUCCUCAAAUCACAAACACAUGAACAUAUUUUUUUUACGCGUACCUUGAAAUUUUAAAAAUAAAAAAAAUCCUCCACCAAAAAUCCCUAAAAUUGAAUCUUCUCCAUCUCUUUUUAUAGGGCAAAGUUUAUUUUUUUUAGGUAGUGAAGUAGAGUAAUUUUAGAUAGUGAAGUGGAGGGCAACCGAGAAAGGGGAAAAAUGUGGGAGAGUGGGAGAAGAUGAGAGAUUUGGAGAAAGUGUGAGCG
Molecule: long non-coding RNA, 5393 nt
Filed under: Cucumis sativus (cucumber)
Lineage: Eukaryota; Viridiplantae; Streptophyta; Magnoliopsida; Cucurbitales; Cucurbitaceae
Description: long non-coding RNA (CSAT_LNC001113)
Source: RNAcentral